GCUGUUAUUCCCCAUUUCUCUUGGAUUACUUUGAGAUGUUGUAUAUUUUAACUAAAAUAGAAUAUAUUUUUUAGUGUUUAAAAAGAGAAAACAUAUCUAAACCCAUAGAUGACUGAAAAAUUAAUGGUCUUGUAUUUUAUUGAUAGAAAAUUAUGAUACCAAAAAAUAGCCAAAAAUUACUCAUUCUUUAUACUAUUUUCAACCUCUUACUUACAACAUUAAUUUUUUGAGCCUCGGGAACCGUGAAGUGCCGUACAAAAACAUAUAAUGUUCUCAAGGGAAUUCAGCAUUUUAACACGAACCCUGUGAACCGUUACUUUAAAAGUCGCAUGGUGCUGUCAUGACCCAUGAAACUAAAAACCCAGUGAGAUCAAGAACACAAGGUGGGUAACUACGUGCUAAUUUUUGGACUAGCAGUUAAAUGUAGACUGACCACACACUUAUUUAAAGUUGAAGAAGCAAGUGCUUCUUUUUGCUAAAACAGCUUUUAUUAUCGUUAGAUUCUACGGAUUCUUUAGAAACAGAGCUGCUCCACACUGAAUCCACUGGUCUUGGCUGCCGCCACACGGGACGUCGAUGUUGGCUACCACGCGGUCCCUCUCGGCGCUCGUGUACACGGGCAAGGAUAUGCACUCACUGGGGGAAUAUGGACCGUAGGCACCCUGUAGAGAAAGAACCAGGUGUUAAAAUACGGCAUUGAAGAGUGUAUUUUGGAGAACAUAGAAACAAUCUCUGUGAAAUACUUGCCUUAAAAUGUGUGUUUAUUAAAUACCAACGUGAACAGGAUUAUACCCUUUCAUGCCGUUCAUAUUUAAACGCUUCAGCAAGUCUAAGCACAGGAAUUUCGUGUUAGCUCUGGAAGAAAACCCACCAGAGCUUAAUAUGAACAAUCCAGAACCACAGCAAGUGGGAAAGAACGUCUAACAAAUGAGACAAAGCUUGUUCUUGUGGACAGUGGUGCUACCACUGGGGGACCCGAAAAAAUCACUGACUCGACCUGUCGGUUUCUUCAGCAGCAAACAGAGCCCCCCACCCCGCGACUCUACAACCCACAGGACUAGUGUGAACGUGAGACCGCUUCACCCUGACAGGUCAUCCGGCCUCUCGCAGCGGCACGAUUCGCGAAAACCACAGGCACCUGCUCCAAACUCCUGGCGGUGGAGCGACUGGGUCUGGGCCCGCCUUCCCCAGCGGCCGGGGUACAGUCCACACACUGUCACACGGGCUCCAGGUCUGUACCGUGUGCUGGGCUCGCAGGUGUUGACUCCAUUCCCCACGCUGCGCCUUUCAUUCGGGCGACGUAUUCAUUCUAUAACCUGCCCAUUCCCCGAACCCUGCCCUCCGGCAACCCUCAGUUUGCUCUAUUUUUUGGGUCUGCUGCUGGUAAGUGAAAUCAUAUGGCAUUUGUCUUUCUCUGACUUAUUGAAAUUAAUAAUGCCCUCUAGGUCCAUCCAUGUCGUCACAAAUGGCCACAGCUCGUCCUUCUUCAUGGCUGAGUCACUAGCAGCGUCUGCGGAGACGCCAUCUCCGUUCGUCUCUCUCGGUGAGCGCUGGGCCGCGUGCGUACCUUGCCUACUGGACAUCCCGCUGCAGCGCAUGUCAACGUGCACGUGUAUUUUUCAAAUCGGUGUUUUCAUUUCCUUUGGGUGAGUACCCGGUAGUGCAAUUCCUGGAUCCCGGGGCAGUUGUGUCCCCCCAGCAGAACAG
Long non-coding RNA from Ursus maritimus (polar bear), 1707 nucleotides. NCBI's taxonomy places the organism in Eukaryota, Metazoa, Chordata, Mammalia, Carnivora, Ursidae. The record is from Ensembl.